This 448-nucleotide ribosomal RNA is filed under the name uncultured bacterium. RNAcentral's name for it is "bacterial SSU rRNA". It matches the Rfam family "Bacterial small subunit ribosomal RNA", at positions 28 to 507 of the family's 1533-position model. The record is from RNAcentral.
GAUGAACGCUGGCGGCGUGCCUAACACAUGCAAGUCGAGCGAUUUACUUCGGUAAAGAGCGGCGGACGGGUGAGUAACGCGUGGGUAACCUGCCCUGUACACACGGAUAACAUACCGAAAGGUAUGCUAAUACGAGAUAAUAUACUUUUAUCGCAUGGUAGAAGUAUCAAAGCUCCGGCGGUACAGGAUGGACCCGCGUCUGAUUAGCUAGUUGGUAAGGUAACGGCUUACCAAGGCGACGAUCAGUAGCCGACCUGAGAGGGUGAUCGGCCACAUUGGAACUGAGACACGGUCCAAACUCCUACGGGAGGCAGCAGUGGGGAAUAUUGCACAAUGGGCGAAAGCCUGAUGCAGCAACGCCGCGUGAGCGAUGAAGGCCUUCGGUCGUAAAGCUCUGUCCUCAAGAAGAUAAUGACGUACUUGAGGAGGAAGCCCGGCUAACUACGUG